RNAcentral lists this ribosomal RNA (230 nucleotides) under uncultured bacterium. Its description in RNAcentral is "partial 16S ribosomal RNA". It matches the Rfam family "Bacterial small subunit ribosomal RNA", at positions 562 to 791 of the family's 1533-position model. The record is from RNAcentral.
AAAGGGUGCGUAGGCGGGCAAUUAAGUCAGUGGUGAAAUCUUGGGGCUCAACCCCGAAACUGCCAUUGAUACUAUUUGUCUUGAAUACUGUGGAGGUUAGCGGAAUAUGUCAUGUAGCGGUGAAAUGCUUAGAUAUGACAUAGAACACCGAUUGCGAAGGCAGCUGGCUACACAAGCAUUGACGCUGAGGCACGAAAGCGUGGGGAUCAAACAGGAUUAGAUACCCUGGU